This 481-nucleotide ribosomal RNA is filed under the name uncultured bacterium. RNAcentral's name for it is "partial 16S ribosomal RNA". It matches the Rfam family "Bacterial small subunit ribosomal RNA", at positions 28 to 523 of the family's 1533-position model. The record is from RNAcentral.
GACGAACGCUGGCGGCGUGCUUAACACAUGCAAGUCGAACGGUGAAGUAGAGCUUGCUCUAUGGAUCAGUGGCGAACGGGUGAGUAACACGUGGGCAACCUGCCCCAGACUCUGGGAUAACUCCUCGAAAGAGGGCUAAUACCGGAUAUUUGCAUUGCAAGACAUCUUGUGAUGCAGAAAGAAUUUCGGUCUGGGAUGGGCCCGCGGCCUAUCAGCUUGUUGGUGAGGUAACGGCUCACCAAGGCGACGACGGGUAGCCGGCCUGAGAGGGCGACCGUCCACACUGGGACUGAGACACGGCCCAGACUCCUACGGGAGGCAGCAGUGGGGAAUAUUGGGCAAUGGGCGCAAGCCUGACCCAGCAACGCCGCGUGAGGGAUGAAGGUCCUCGGAUUGUAAACCUCUUUCAGCAGGGACGAAGCGAAAGUGACGGUACCUGCAGAAGAAGCACCGGCUAACUACGUGCCAGCCGCCGCCGUAA